GACGAACGCUGGCGGUGUGCUUAACACAUGCAAGUCGAACGGAAAGGCCCUGCUUUUGUGGGGUGCUCGAGUGGCGAACGGGUGAGUAACACGUGAGUAACCUGCCCUUGAUUUUGGGAUAACUUCAGGAAACUGGGGCUAAUACCGGAUAGGAGCUCCUGCUGCAUGGUGGGGGUUGGAAAAUUUCGGCGGUUGGGGAUGGACUCGCGGCUUAUCUGCUUGUCGGUGGGGUAGUGGCUUACCAAGGCUUUGACGGGUAGCCGGCCUGAGAAGGUGACCGGCCCCAUUGGAACUAAGAUACGGCCCAGCCUCCUACGGGAGACAGCAGUGGCGAGUGUUGCACAGCGGGAAGAAGCCUGAUGCCACAACCCCGCGUGCGGGAAGGCAGCCUUCGGGGUUUAAACCGCUUUCGCCUGUAACGAAGCUUGGGUGACGGUAAUGGGUAAAGAAGCACCGGCUAACUACGUG
RNAcentral lists this ribosomal RNA (468 nucleotides) under uncultured bacterium. RNAcentral describes it as "partial 16S ribosomal RNA". It matches the Rfam family "Bacterial small subunit ribosomal RNA", at positions 28 to 507 of the family's 1533-position model. The record is from RNAcentral.